UACGGAGGGGGCUAGCGUUGUUCGGAAUUACUGGGCGUAAAGCGCACGUAGGCGGCUUUGCAAGUUAGAGGUGAAAGCCCGGAGCUUAACUCCGGAAUUGCCUUUAAAACUGCAUCGCUAGAAUUGUGGAGAGGUGAGUGGAAUUCCGAGUGUAGAGGUGAAAUUCGUAGAUAUUCGGAAGAACACCAGUGGCGAAGGCGACUUACUGGACACAUAUUGACGCUGAGGCGCGAAAGCGUGGGGAGCAAACAGG
Molecule: ribosomal RNA, 253 nt
Filed under: uncultured bacterium
Lineage: Bacteria
Description: partial 16S ribosomal RNA
Rfam family: Bacterial small subunit ribosomal RNA
Source: RNAcentral